RNAcentral lists this ribosomal RNA (478 nucleotides) under uncultured bacterium. Its description in RNAcentral is "bacterial SSU rRNA". It matches the Rfam family "Bacterial small subunit ribosomal RNA", at positions 19 to 507 of the family's 1533-position model. The record is from RNAcentral.
AUGGCUCAGGAUGAACGCUGGCGGCGUGCUUAACACAUGCAAGUCGAACGAAGAUGCCGGAGUGCUUGCACUUUGGCAGACUGAGUGGCGGACGGGUGAGUAACGCGUGGGUAACCUGCCUUAUACAGGGGGAUAACAGUUGGAAACGACUGCUAAUACCGCAUAAGCGCACGGUAUCGCAUGAUACAGUGUGAAAAACUCCGGUGGUACAGGAUGGACCCGCGUCUGAUUAGCUGGUUGGUGAGGUAACGGCUCACCAAGGCGACGAUCAGUAGCCGGCUUGAGAGAGUGAACGGCCACAUUGGGACUGAGACACGGCCCAAACUCCUACGGGAGGCAGCAGUGGGGAAUAUUGCACAAUGGGGGAAACCCUGAUGCAGCGACGCCGCGUGAGUGAAGAAGUAUCUCGGUAUGUAAAGCUCUAUCAGCAGGGAAGAAAAUGACGGUACCUGACUAAGAAGCCCCGGCUAACUACGUG